AUGUUGGGGGAACAAUUCUAUGACUUUUACUAUGAGGUUGAAAAAUUUGUGACGGCUGGAGGAGAGAAAAAUCAGGCCUCUGUCAUUGUGGACAGCAGUGCAUCGCCUUCUUUCCCAAAGAAAGCCAGGAUGAAUUCAUAUCCUGCUUCUUCUGAUGGGCAGGGGGAAACCAGUGCAUCUAUGAUUGGAAAUUUCUCUUCUCAAAAUUAUGAAAAGGGGACACAAAGAUUAUCUGCAGUGGCUGAAAGUGAGGAGGAGGGGGAAAGUGAUGAGGGGAACCAUACUGAGCUUUUGCUCGAAUCUAUGGCCAGAGAAUAUGCAGCUGAUAAAAUGUCUUAUCCUGAAUCACCAGCAGAAAAUUCAUAUGAGCAAAAAUCUGAUGAGAUAUUAGGUGAUGAUAUGGAAAGGUCUCCUAAUGCUGCUGGCAACAUGAAAAAAGAUUAUGUGGUGUGGCCAUCUCUGCCUCAUAUUGUACCCCUUGAGGAAGCGUCUACAGAAGGGGGGACAAUCACAUUGUUUACACUGUUGAAUCGCCAUAUGGGUCUCCAAUGCAUGAUACUAUGGCUCCUGAAGGGCGGGCUUCGCGCAGGCAGUUUCAGAAACUGGAGCGUGUGGAGGAGACGGCCACCAACAGACUGA
RNAcentral lists this ribosomal RNA (639 nucleotides) under Triticum aestivum (bread wheat). RNAcentral's name for it is "partial small subunit ribosomal RNA". Lineage: Eukaryota; Viridiplantae; Streptophyta; Magnoliopsida; Poales; Poaceae. The record is from RNAcentral.